Molecule: ribosomal RNA, 846 nt
Filed under: uncultured bacterium
Lineage: Bacteria
Description: bacterial SSU rRNA
Rfam family: Bacterial small subunit ribosomal RNA
Source: RNAcentral
GAUGAACGCUGGCGGCGUGCCUAACACAUGCAAGUCGUACGAGUCCGAUCUUCGGAAAGGGCUAGUGGCGCACGGGUGAGUAACACGUGGGUGACCUACCUCAGAGUGGGGGAUAACUUCUCGAAAGAGAGGCUAAUACCGCAUAUGCUUGAUGAUUCAUUUGAUCAAGUAAAGCUCCGGCGCUCUGAGACGGGCCCGCGGCCGAUUAGCUAGUUGGUGGGGUAAUGGCCUACCAAGGCGAUGAUCGGUAGCUGGUCUGAGAGGACGAUCAGCCACACUGGCACUGACACACGGGCCAGACUCCUACGGGAGGCAGCAGUGAGGAAUAUUGGGCAAUGGGCGAAAGCCUGACCCAGCAACGCCGCGUGGAGGAUGAAGGCCCUCGGGUUGUAAACUCCUUUUCUGGGAGAAGAGACAAGGACGGUAUCCCAGGAAUAAGUCUCGGCUAACUACGUGCCAGCAGCCGCGGUAAAACGUAGGAGGCUAGCGUUAUCCGGAUUCACUGGGCGUAAAGCGCACGCAGGCGGUUAUGUAAGUCGGACGUGAAAGCUCCCGGCUCAACUGGGAGAAGUCGUUCGAUACUGCGUAACUUGAGGUUGGGAGAGGGGAGCGGAACUCCCGGUGUAGUGGUGGAAUGCGUAGAUAUCGGGAGGAACACCAGUGGCGAAAGCGGCUCCCUGGCCCAUACCUGACGCUCAGGUGCGAAAGCGUGGGUAGCGAACGGGAUUAGAUACCCCGGUAGUCCACGCUGUAAACGAUGCGAACUAGGUGUCGGUAGUAUUAAUCCUAUCAGUGCCGAAGCUAACGCGAUAAGUUCGCCGCCUGGGGACUACGGCCGCAAGGCUA